AACUCUUUGAAUUAAGUCCCUUUAUUUUUUUUUUUAUCAUUUAAUUAUAAUUUUUAGGAUUUUCAUUUUAAAAGAAUUAAAGAGUGGUGACGCCAGUACAACUUUUAUUUUCAGCUUCACUGGAUUCAUUACACAAAAAAAAAGUGGAAAUAAAUAUAAAAUAAGUUCCAAUACCAAUAGUGAAGGAUCUCUAACGGUUUUAAAUAGUAAUCAAAUAUACCAAGUACAGCACAGUUUGUUUUGUUGAUGUUUUUUCUAAUUUUCGUAAAUGAAAUCGAUUAAAAAAUAUUUGUUGACCGAAAACUUAUAUGCCAAUGUUCUGAUUUUAUUUUCAAUUUAUAUCCGUUAGUUUUCGCAUUCUUUUAAGACAUCUAGCUGUUUAGUACCUGCGAAUUUACCAAUUGCGUCCUAUUCCUUAUAAUAACUGUUUACCAUUCCUAGUAGGGUGACAAUGGCAAGAGCCAUUAGUUAACAUACCCGAAUCAAUCUCUUUCUUUUUUUUUUUUUGAGCUUUUGAUUUUGAUUAGGGACUUUCCGUUUUUAAUUUACCUCGGAGUUCAGUAAUUGUGUGAUUUUACAUUUUUCUGUUUGGAAUAGUUAUCAAAGGUACUAGGAUUAUAAUUUAGUACGCCAGACGCGCGUUUCGUCUACAUAAGACUCAUCAGUGACGCUCAUAUCAAAAUAUUUAUAAAGCCAAACAAGUACAAAGUUGAAGAGCAUUGAGGAUCCAAAAUUCCAAAAAAGUUGUGCCAAAUACAUCUAAGGUAAUCUAUGCCUGGGAUAAGAAAAUCCUUAGUUUUUCGAAAAAUUCAAAGUUUUGUAAACAGGAAAUUUAUAAAAAUGACCACAUUAUUGAUAUUCAUGUCA
RNAcentral lists this long non-coding RNA (867 nucleotides) under Mytilus galloprovincialis (Mediterranean mussel). The record is from RNAcentral. Lineage: Eukaryota; Metazoa; Mollusca; Bivalvia; Mytilida; Mytilidae.